Long non-coding RNA from Microtus ochrogaster (prairie vole), 2459 nucleotides. RefSeq lists it as uncharacterized. The transcript has 9 exons. The record is from RefSeq and is a predicted model, not a curated record. NCBI's taxonomy places the organism in Eukaryota, Metazoa, Chordata, Mammalia, Rodentia, Cricetidae.
AGAUCCACCUGCCGCUGCCUCCUGAGUACUGGGAUUAAAGGUGUUCCCCACCACUAUCUUCUAAAUCUUAAUUGAAUAUUUGCGACUCAUGAACCCAUUGUUCCUAUGUUUACUAUUGCUCCUCUUUUGACAUCUUUGUUGGAACAGUAUUUUUCCUAUGUAUUUUUUAAAAUUUAUUUUUAAUUUUAUGUUUGUGCAUAUUUUGCUUACAGGUAUGUCUUUGAGUACCUGCCUGCCGUCUUCCGAGGUCAGAUCUCUUGGACCUGGGGUUAUAGAUAUUUAAAACUGGACAAGCUCUCUGCUUCGUGCCCAUGGAUACGAUGAGAUCAGCUGCCUCAAGCCCUUGCCUGCCACUUGAAUCAUCACACUUCAGCAUGGAACUAAACUCCAAACCAUCAUAGAAGCCCGAAGGGACCUGACCAACUGAGCCUUCAGGAAAACAUGCUUAGCGGAUCUCAAUCUAUCUUCCCCAGCAGAGACACAAGUUAGUGGUGCAUGGGUUAAAUAUUCAAGAUCAGGUUUUAUUCACCCUGGAGAUGAAACCAUGAGUUUUUAUGAGAGGGUGGGGUGCAUCAGAGAAGUUGGAAGACAGAGGGAAGGCUACAUACAAUAUAAAUAGAGUUCCCACACAUGAAAUUCUAAAACAAAACAAAAGGAAACAAAAUAUCAGAAAGCCUCAGAAUACAGUGUUCUGAGACUUAAUAUUUCACCCUUUAUACCUCAAUUGCUUUUCUGAAAGGUAUUUCCCCAGUAUACUUCACAUAGCUAUAUGCCCCUUAGAGUUGUUCUAUCUCAAGACUGUUUAGAUUUGUGCUUCCCCAAAGCUAAAAAAUGCUGAUUUGUUUUGAUUCUCUUUUUGCGUCCUUGUAAAACUACUUUGGAGACGUAUCUCUUCAGGGAAUCAUUUAUGUAGGUAAGAUAUUCAUUCCUCUUUUAACUUUACAGUGCUAAAGCAAUUAAUGUAUUCAGGGUAGUCAUUUGCUCUCAUCUGUGUGAUAUUCAAAUGUCAUAUUUAAUGGAUUGAGUUGUGUGCUCAGGAUUCUCUGUUAUUGUUGUUGCUUGUAGUUUCCUUGUGUGAUCAUUUUAUGGUGGUUGUUACUUUGGCUGUUAGCACUUAAUAGUACUUGUAAUGGACUGCAGUGACAAUGAGAAACUUUUAGUAGCCCAGAGAAGAUAGGAAAAGAAAAAGGUGGUGAGUAUAUCCUGCUCCCUCUGGGUGUGUGCAGGCUAACUACUCGGAUGCUCAGGAUUGCCUCCCUAUUUUCUAUAUCUCAUUGGUAAACAUUGUUAUAUCAAAAUUAAGCCCUGUUUUUGGUUCACUGCACCUUUGGAGUCUGCACGUUAUAGUUAAAAUUUCUUAACUUGAAUUAUUUGCAAUGUAUCUUUGUUCCAAUUUUUACUGUUUUUGCUUUUGCCACUAUUUAUCAACUACACAUAUUUUUUUUUUUGUUACAGGUUGGACUUUAUUUCCAUUUCCCCUGAUUGCUGCUGAGAUUUUUUGCCUGGUUUGAACCUGUGAAGUCUUGUGUGUUCUGUAACAGUCUCUGUGAGGCAAAUGUUUAUUGUUUCUGUUGUGUGUGGAAGAGACUUCAUCCUGUUUUUUUGCUUUUAAGGUCUUUCCACUUCUCCUUAUCCAUAGAUCCAUGAGGCUGGAGGGGAGAUGGCUGAUGAUGAGAUCUCAUGCAGGAUGAAGUGCUCCCAAGUCUCAUCUCUGUAUAUUGUCCCAUUGAGAGUCUCUGGGCUAUUUCUUAUCUACCACAAGAAGAAGCUCCUCUGAUGAGAGUUAAGUGAUACACUGAUCUAUAUGCUCUAUGGGUAUAGCAAUAUUCCAUUUGGAAUCAUUUUACUGUUUUGUUCCUUUUGCAGGAUAAUAGUGGUUUCCCUCAAGGUCCAUGAUCUAUCUAUCUGAGGUUCUUGUAACAUAUUAACAGUGUCAGCAUGCAGAGUACCUUCCAGCUCUAUGAACAUUAAGGAUAAAGCUUCUAGUCGGGUAUCAGCCCAAUUUCUCCAUGUUUGAUGAGAUAAGGUCUCACCAUGCUGCUCAUGAUAAUCUCAGACUCAGGCACAGAGGAGGGACUUCUCGCCUGUCUCCUGUGUAUCUUUCAUUGAAGAUACAAACCACACACCAAGCUGGUGGUAUUGAAUGUCGCUGUGCUUCCUCUUCCCAUCCUGAGAAGCUCACACUGGAGACUGCUACUCUUAGCUUAUGGCAUGUGGACCUGCUUUAUCAGGGUUUUGAUGAGUUUGAUACCAAACAGAAACAAAGAGUGACUUUGAAAAUGUCAUUUUAUUUGAAUUAACAAGAUUUUCCUCUCUUCUCUGAAAAGGGAUGUCGGAAGAGGAUGAUGUGCAGAGCCUGGGGUUUCAAUAGUAGUCAGGAAAUUUUUAUUUCUCCAGCAUCCUGUGACAAGGAAGGAGCAUGUGGAAACACCAGUGAAGCCUCAUCUACCAGAAAGGGC